GAUCCUGGCUCAGGAUGAACGCUAGCUACAGGCUUAACACAUGCAAGUCGAGGGGCAGCAUGGUCUUAGCUUGCUAAGGCCGAUGGCGACCGGCGCACGGGUGAGUAACGCGUAUCCAACCUGCCUUACACUCUUGGACAGCCUUCUGAAAGGGAGAUUAAUACAAGAUGUUAUCAUGAGUAAGCAUUUUCACAUGUAUUAAAGGUUUACCGGUGUAAGAGUGGGAUGCGUUCCUA
This 236-nucleotide ribosomal RNA is filed under the name uncultured bacterium. RNAcentral describes it as "partial 16S ribosomal RNA". It matches the Rfam family "Bacterial small subunit ribosomal RNA", at positions 15 to 241 of the family's 1533-position model. The record is from RNAcentral.